Molecule: long non-coding RNA, 4218 nt
Filed under: Xyrichtys novacula (pearly razorfish)
Lineage: Eukaryota; Metazoa; Chordata; Actinopteri; Labriformes; Labridae
Source: RNAcentral
UACCUAAAGGCCGUGCAAAGUCAACAGCUGGCUACCUCCAAAGUUCGUAUUUGGUUAGAAAAUCGUGAUUAUUUUAAUGCAGUAUUGCUAUAAAUAUGUUUAAAUGCAUUUUAGACAAACUUGAAACUUAAGGUCACGACAUUGUGACUCUUAAACGAGGAUUGUCCUUAUUGAACACAAACCGAAAAUUACCGGGAUUGGAUCUUUCUUUUAAAAAAAAUAUAAAUUAGGGUUUUUGUUUAUUGUUUGACCUCGUAAAGUCGUCAGUUUUAAUAAUAAAGACACUCACAGGUAACUAUGAUACUUGCACAAACAAAAACAAAAAAAGCACAAACAGAAAAAUAGUUUGAUAACUCGAGCUAGCUUUUAUAAUUCCAAGUUUUGUGAAAUUUACGAUUAUCGACUGUACGUUCAUAAUCAUGAAAUUGUGCGUUUUCUUCCUCGUCUUGGUGAGUGCAGUGCGCCGUCCUCAAUCCAGCCGGGACAAAGUUAUUUUUCUGAAAGUUUAAAAGCUGCUAUUUGACAAUCAAAAAAUCACGACCCUUCGUAAAAACCACUUUGAUUUUACGUGAAAACACACGAAGCGUCGCAGCCUCUCGUUUGUCAUCUUUGUCAUCGUAUAAUCAACUUUGCACUGAAAAUUACAGACGUGUAAUUAAAAGAAGCCAUUACUCAAGGAGGCAGAUUAUUUAAAAGUAUUUAGAAUAAUUAAGUUUUCAUUCAUUUUCAGGUUUGAGUAUUUUGCUACAUUCAGUUAACGCUCAUUUACUAAUAUAUAUAUCAGUUUUGAAAUCGGCUGUAAUUAUAUAUUUUAAAAUGCAUUAGUGGUAGUUCUUGUAUAUUUAAGCUAAAAAAAAACAGGUCAUUUUCAAAUCCAGGUCAUCGUGUUUUUUACGUUUUCAGGUCAAACUAACAGGAUUUCAUUCCAAAAUCACUAAAACAGGUCGGCGCUGUCUUUAGAGAAACUUUAAUAUCGGUGCGUCUUUAAAAGGAUCUGAAGCAUUUUGGAAUGAAAAUCCUCAGCCGCUCAAAAACAGCGUCAAACCAAACCAAAAACUACAAAACACGCCGUAAAUGUCCGUUUGUAUUUUUCUGUUUUAUAUAAUUCUGAGCUCCGGGAGUGUUUUAGACAUUUUCAGGGUUUAUUUUUGCAUCACCAUGACUUUUUCUUCUUUUAUUGACUUCAUGAAAAAAUCCAGGAUGGGAGUCUAAUUUCUUUAUUUCUUUUAAUAAAAAACAGAAACACUGUCCCCUAAAAAAAGGAAACACGACACGGUGUUUAGGUUAAUUUACGUUGGUCGGGAGACUGUCUUAAAUGCUACGUAGCGUCUUCUGUUAGCAGUAUAGAUGUUGUUUGUCCGCUCUAGAUCCCUAAUACAUGCUGUUCUGGUUUAGGUUAGCUAAAGCUAGUUCAGCUAGCUCUGGCUUUCCUUGCGUUAUGAUAAAUAAAGUCUAAUUAUGUUGUACUUCAAACAUUUUUAAGGGAAGUAAUAAAAUGCCUUAUUUGCUACAAAAAAAAAUAUUUAUGAAGAGAUAUUUAUUGGAUUGAAUCGUUCAAAAAUCCCUUCGUGCUUCACCGUAACGGUUCAGAAAAGAGUUUCCUGUCAUGCUCCACGGGGGCUGAAAUAUGUGACGCCAGAAACUGAAUUUGAAUCAUUUUUAUUAGAAUUGCGAAACAUGAAUAAUUGAAUUUGAAUCACAGAAUCUCAAAAUUCAAAUUCAGUUCACAAAAUUCAGCUCUGGUUUAAGUUCCUCACACACCAGGGCCGACGCGAAUAUAGAACGCGAAAUUACAAAAUAUUUCUGGGGGGAAAAUGACGCACUUUCCCCGGGAAAAGUCUUCCCCGGGGAAAGUCCCGCCUCCUUCGCCUCUGACUGGCUAGAAAAGCUGGAAUCGUCAUCACACGCUCAAGCCAAACGGUCAGCACUUAUAGCCAAUCAGAAGGGAUAAGAUAAGAUAGUCUAAACUCCUCUGGUGCGGAGACACGGUCUGACAGCAUGUAUCAGGGUUAGUUUUACGAUAACCGCCAUCGAUCUGAAAAUAAGGGCUGUAACUCCGAAGCCUUCAUGGCCUUGUCUUCUUCGUGCCUCUACGCGCUGAUUAAUGCUUCUGUCUUCUCUGAAAAACGGCGUUUCCAGCUUCACUUGGAACUGAAAUGUCUUCUGUUGUGUGUUUCUAAAAAAAAAGUUGUUUUUUUUAAGCGUUCGUUGAAAUGUUUGUUUUGUAAUUGUGUGUAAAGAUGGUUUUAAAGUGACGUGUGUUUGCAAAGUAACUCAUGAUGAAUGAAAAUGAAGAGCUGUUAACUCGUCUGCUCCUGAAUGUUUUCUUUAAAGGACAGUCAGUCAUAUCAGGUGACCAGAUAACAGUAUUACACACUCCACAAAAUCAGUGACCACACUUUCUCUCUGCACAAACUCAAGCCUGUAUUCAUUCUGCCUCGCUUGGAUUACGGUUUGAUAAGUAUUAAAUGUGGGAAAGAUAAUUGUUUGUUUCGCACACUAAGAACUUCAUAGACAAAUCAGAGGAGAGGGUAUAAAACAAACUAUCGGAUAACGAUGGCGUUUGACCAAUGGCCAGCCAACACUCGCUCACGCUGACGGUGUUAGCUAACGUUACUGUUCGCUAUGAGUCAAAGAUUUUCCCGACAUAUCAGGCAAGAAAACACGAUAUUGAUUAUUACAGAAUUUUUGUCGUUUCCACCAGAGAAACACGAAAAAAGUAUCUGAAAAGUGAGCUGCGCCGUAUACACCGCAGCAGCUACAUACCUAUUCAUGAAAGUGGCGUUUUAUUGUGUUAUGGUAUUUAAACCAGAAGAUGGCACUCAAAGGCAUAAGAGACCAGUUAGAUUCCCAAAGCAUGCUGGAUAAUUCGUAAGAUGGACCAGUCAGGAGGGGCUGCUUUCUGACACCGGUGGUAGACUGUCGGACAUCCAGUCGGCAAACCAGAUUACCACAAAGGUAAACAGGCCUUUAUCUACGGCUUCACACUGCAGGUUCUGACGCACAAUUCUGUUUUUUGUUAAAUCCGAUCUUUACAACAACGAAUGUGGCAUCUAAUGUGAACGGAAUGCAUCCAUGAAGAAUGCGUCCGAAUUGCUUUCUGCGUCUGUUUGUGUCGUCGAACAACGGUGACGUUUGUCGCAUAUUGACGAUGUAAAGGUCGGAUCAACGCAACCUGAGCGUCCACACUGCAGUCACAUCAGAUACAUAUCUGAUUUAUAUCCACAUACAGAAGAGGCCUGGGUCGGAUCAGAACCAAUCAGAAUUGACCUGCAGUCUGAACGUAGACUACACUAUUUAACAUUUUUAACGUACAGGACCGAAUAUAGAGCUCACUGUGAAUGCACUAAUGUUUAUAUAGAGAUAUAUAUUUAUUGAAUGUUGAACUUCCCCAGAGCUUUGGAGAAAAAAAACCUUUAGAGGACAAAAUUAAAUUAUAACUGAACAUUAUUUUAAAGGAUUUGGAUCUCAAACAGAGUCGAAACAUUAGAACCAUCGGUAAUCUAAGGGCUUCAAACUUUUUAUGUUGCACGAAAACUUCCAAGUUACGUUAAACUUGACAAAGUCACCAUCCCCACAUACAGUCUCCCACAUUUCCUCCUGAAAACUACAACCAGGAAAAGUCGUUUUUUUUUUAAAAGUUUGUUUGUAUUUUGUUCUCUAUGAUUAUUGGAUCUGUCUCAGUCCGCUUUCUUUUCGUUUACCAUCGAAGUUUUCGGUUUAACAGUCAGAUCUAAUCUUCUGCAACAUAGAUGUUUCCUACAAAUAUCAAACUCUUUAUAUGAAGUCAGAUUAAUUAUACCUUAUUAGCCAUAUUUCCGAGCGUUUCAUAAGCUAAAUUUUUACCUCUGCAUUGAGUAAAAUGUUUGUUUUAUUCGUCUGUUUCUGGACGAUGCUUGAAACUGAAGCGUCCUGGUUUUAGAAAGAUGAAAAUAUGAACAGUUUGUUGUUUGUUUCAGCUCAGUGUUGGUAAAAGGAGUGAAAUGGAAAAGAUUCCUCUGAACGUGUUAGCUUUGGGCUCAGAGCUGUUAGCCUGUGAUGUCGCCGUGUACGUCCAUGUGCUGAGAGGUCGACUGUUUUUCUCCUCGUGUGGCUUCACUCCUCUGUGCUCUGAACAACCUGCCUGAAGUGCUCACACAGUGUUUGCUAUCUGCAGGAACUUAAAGUGUAUUUUUUCUGGAUUAUGUUUCAAUAAAGAUAUUUUAAAACCAUGAUGAA